RNAcentral lists this ribosomal RNA (443 nucleotides) under Salmonella enterica. RNAcentral describes it as "bacterial SSU rRNA". It matches the Rfam family "Bacterial small subunit ribosomal RNA", at positions 1 to 442 of the family's 1533-position model. RNAcentral also lists the same sequence under 1 other name. Lineage: Bacteria; Pseudomonadati; Pseudomonadota; Gammaproteobacteria; Enterobacterales; Enterobacteriaceae. The record is from RNAcentral.
AAAUUGAAGAGUUUGAUCAUGGCUCAGAUUGAACGCUGGCGGCAGGCCUAACACAUGCAAGUCGAACGGUAGCACAGAGAGCUUGCUCUCGGGUGACGAGUGGCGGACGGGUGAGUAAUGUCUGGGAAACUGCCUGAUGGAGGGGGAUAACUACUGGAAACGGUGGCUAAUACCGCAUAACGUCGCAAGACCAAAGAGGGGGACCUUCGGGCCUCUUGCCAUCAGAUGUGCCCAGAUGGGAUUAGCUUGUUGGUGAGGUAACGGCUCACCAAGGCGACGAUCCCUAGCUGGUCUGAGAGGAUGACCAGCCACACUGGAACUGAGACACGGUCCAGACUCCUACGGGAGGCAGCAGUGGGGAAUAUUGCACAAUGGGCGCAAGCCUGAUGCAGCCAUGCCGCGUGUAUGAAGAAGGCCUUCGGGUUGUAAAGUACUUUCAGCGG